This 513-nucleotide ribosomal RNA is filed under the name uncultured microorganism. RNAcentral's name for it is "bacterial SSU rRNA". It matches the Rfam family "Bacterial small subunit ribosomal RNA", at positions 9 to 504 of the family's 1533-position model. The record is from RNAcentral.
GAGUUUGAUCGUGGCUCAGGAUGAACGCUGGCGGCGUGCCUAAUACAUGCAAGUCGAGCGAACGGACGAGAAGCUUGCUUCUCUGAUGUUAGCGGCGGACGGGUGAGUAACACGUGGAUAACCUACCUAUAAGACUGGGAUAACUUCGGGAAACCGGAGCUAAUAUCGGAUAAUAUUUUGAACCGCAUGGUUCAAAAGUGAAAGACGGUCUUGCUGUCACUUAUAGAUGGAUCCGCGCUGCAUUAGCUAGUUGGUAAGGUAACGGCUUACCAAGGCAACGAUGCAUAGCCGACCUGAGAGGGUGAUCGGCCACACUGGAACUGAGACACGGUCCAGACUCCUACGGGAGGCAGCAGUAGGGAAUCUUCCGCAAUGGGCGAAAGCCUGACGGAGCAACGCCGCGUGAGUGAUGAAGGUCUUCGGAUCGUAAAACUCUGUUAUUAGGGAAGAACAUAUGUGUAAGUAACUGUGCACAUCUUGACGGUACCUAAUCAGAAAGCCACGGCUAACUAC